CGAACGGGUGAGUAACACGUAAGUAACCUAGCUAUUAGACGAGGAUAACUACUGGAAACGGUAGCUAAGACUGGAUAUGAUAGAAAUAAUUUAAAGGAUGCUAAGGCAUCGCUAAUAGAGGGGCUUGCGGCGCAUUAGCUAGUUGGUAGGGUAAAGCCAACCAAGGCGAUGAUGCGUAGCCGACCUGAGAGGGUGACCGGCCACACUGGGACUGAGACACCGGCCCAGACUCCGUACGGGAGGCAGCAGUAGGGAAUCUUCGGCAAUGGACGAAAGUCUGACGGAAGCAACGCCGCGUGAGUGAUGAAGGUUUUCGGAUCGUAAAACUCUGUUGUUAGGGAAGAACAAGUACCGUUCGAAUAGGUCGGUACCUUGACGGUACCUAACCAGAAACGCCCCGGCUAACUACGUGCCAGCCGCCGC
Molecule: ribosomal RNA, 423 nt
Filed under: uncultured bacterium
Lineage: Bacteria
Description: bacterial SSU rRNA
Rfam family: Bacterial small subunit ribosomal RNA
Source: RNAcentral